Molecule: ribosomal RNA, 254 nt
Filed under: uncultured bacterium
Lineage: Bacteria
Description: partial 16S ribosomal RNA
Rfam family: Bacterial small subunit ribosomal RNA
Source: RNAcentral
UACAGAGGCCUCGAGCGUUAGGCGGAAUCACUGGGCUUAAAGCGUGUGUAGGCGGACCUCUAAGUACCUUGUGAAAUCCCACGGCUCACCCGUGGAACUGCUCGGUAUACUGGUCGUCUUGAGCCUUCUAGGGGCGAGUGGAACAAAUGGUGGAGCGGUGAAAUGGCGUAGAUAUCAUUUGGAACGCCAAUGGUGAAAACAACUCGCUGGGGAAGUGCUGACGCUGAGACACGAAAGCCAGGGGAGCGAACGGG